GCGCACUUAGCUCAGUGGUUAGAGCACCCUUCUAGAGUUUGGGGAAAACAGUUCACAGGUUUGAGUCCUGUAGUGCACA
This 79-nucleotide transfer RNA is filed under the name Cronartium ribicola 11-2. RNAcentral describes it as "tRNA-Ser (AGA) (tRNA-Ser-AGA-42-1)". It matches the Rfam family "tRNA". Rfam says of the family: Transfer RNA (tRNA) molecules are approximately 80 nucleotides in length. Their secondary structure includes four short double-helical elements and three loops (D, anti-codon, and T loops). The record is from RNAcentral. Lineage: Eukaryota; Fungi; Basidiomycota; Pucciniomycetes; Pucciniales; Coleosporiaceae.